UUGAGUUUGAUUAUAUAUCAUGUGCUAACCCUUGUUUUGUAGGUGGACUCAUGUGACUUGAGUCUUGUGCUAUGCACCUUGGUCCCUCUGUGUGGACUGUUUAUCCAUUCCUUUUGAUUUAGACUGUUGAACUGUUUACUAAUUGGUUUGACUUUUUUCAGGUACUUUAGUUGCUUAAGUUCUUUGAACUUGCUUGCUUUGCUAUUUAGCAUUUGCUUUGAGGUAUAAUUACUUCUUCUCCAUGUAGUCUGGAG
This 254-nucleotide long non-coding RNA is filed under the name Lathyrus oleraceus (garden pea). RNAcentral's name for it is "Pisum sativum (pea) long non-coding RNA (PSAT_LNC039426)". The record is from RNAcentral. Lineage: Eukaryota; Viridiplantae; Streptophyta; Magnoliopsida; Fabales; Fabaceae.